AACGUAGGAGACCAGCGUUAUCCGGAAUUACUGGGCGUAAAGCGCGUGUAGGCGGACGGGCAAGUGGGUCGUGAAAGCGCCUGGCUAAACUGGGCGCGGUCGAUCCCGACUGCCGGUCUGGAGUUCGACAGAGGGACGUGGAAUUCCGGGUGUAGUGGUGAAAUGCGUAGAGAUCCGGAGGAACACCAGUGGCGCAGGCGGCGUCCUGGGUCGAAACUGACGCUGAGAAGCGAAAGCAUGGGGAGCGAACGGG
This 253-nucleotide ribosomal RNA is filed under the name uncultured bacterium. RNAcentral describes it as "partial 16S ribosomal RNA". It matches the Rfam family "Bacterial small subunit ribosomal RNA", at positions 524 to 776 of the family's 1533-position model. The record is from RNAcentral.